AAGAAUUUAGUUUAAUUUAAAAUGUUAGAUUGUAAAUCUAAAGUUGUAAGUUCUUG
This 56-nucleotide transfer RNA is filed under the name Parazoniolaimus collaris. RNAcentral describes it as "tRNA-Tyr". The record is from RNAcentral. Lineage: Eukaryota; Metazoa; Nematoda; Chromadorea; Rhabditida; Strongylidae.